This 511-nucleotide ribosomal RNA is filed under the name uncultured bacterium. RNAcentral describes it as "bacterial SSU rRNA". It matches the Rfam family "Bacterial small subunit ribosomal RNA", at positions 337 to 864 of the family's 1533-position model. The record is from RNAcentral.
UCCUACGGAAGGCAGCAGUGGGGAAUAUUGCACAAUGGGCGAAAGCCUGAUGCAGCAACGCCGCGUGAGUGAUGACGGUCUUCGGAUUGUAAAGCUCUGUCUUUUGGGACGAUAAUGACGGUACCAAAGGAGGAAGCCACGGCUAACUACGUGCCAGCAGCCGCGGUAAUACGUAGGUGGCAAGCGUUGUCCGGAUUUACUGGGCGUAAAGGAUGUGUAGGCGGAUACUUAAGUGAGAUGUGAAAGCCCCGGGCUCAACCUGGGGACUGCAUUUCAAACUGGGUGUCUAGAGUGCAGGAGAGGAAAGCGGAAUUCCUAGUGUAGCGGUGAAAUGCGUAGAGAUUAGGAAGAACAUCAGUGGCGAAGGCGGCUUUCUGGACUGUAACUGACGCUGAGGCAUGAAAGCGUGGGGAGCAAACAGGAUUAGAUACCCUGGUAGUCCACGCCGUUAUUCGUUAGUACUAGGUGUAGGAGGUAUCGACUCCUUCCUGUGCCGCAGUAACACAAUAAG